AUUAUUUUGACAGAAAAGUGUGAUAGAUUUAGAUUCUAUAAAUGUAUAAUUAUACAAAUAAUA
RNAcentral lists this transfer RNA (63 nucleotides) under Curculionoidea sp. 10 KM-2017. RNAcentral describes it as "tRNA-Leu". The record is from RNAcentral. Lineage: Eukaryota; Metazoa; Arthropoda; Insecta; Coleoptera.